UACAGAGGGGGCAAGCGUUAUUCGGACUUAUUGGGCGUAAAGGGCGCGUAGGCGGCAUGGCAAGUGGAAGGUGAAAUCCCUCGGCUUAACCGAGGAACUGCCCUCCAAACUGCUUUGCUUGAGGCCGGGAGAGGUUAGUGGAAUUCCCAGUGUAGCGGUGAAAUGCGUAGAGAUGCGGAGGAACACCGAUUGCGAAGGCAGCCCCCUGGGUCGACACUGACGCUCAGGCACGAAAGCGUGGGGAGCAAACAGG
RNAcentral lists this ribosomal RNA (253 nucleotides) under uncultured bacterium. RNAcentral's name for it is "partial 16S ribosomal RNA". It matches the Rfam family "Bacterial small subunit ribosomal RNA", at positions 524 to 776 of the family's 1533-position model. The record is from RNAcentral.